UGGGGCAGAGCCGCCGACACACCUCGGCCAGUGAAUGGUGCGCCGCCCGGGAAAAAUCCACCAUCCAGCAGAAUAUGGGAAAGUAUCAAAGGCCGCUCUUCCUCUCGUUCGGGGAGAAUGAUCUCACAUGAGAUGUGCGCGUGGCUUCUUCAUAACACUCAUUGUUGUUUGACAUUUCCGGCGUUAACUAAUCGGCAUUCUCUCUCUCUCUCUCUCUCUCUCUCUCUCUCUCUCUCUCUCUCUCUCUCUCUCUCUCUCUCUCUCUCUCUCUCUCUCUCUCUCUGUGUGUGUGCGCGCGCGCGUUUGGUUUCUUUCAGAAGAUUCAGAUCCAGGCGAGGCCUCCGUUCCCUGACUGCGCGCGCGGCGUUGCCUGACAGCCCAAAAGAGCCCUCAUUUAUCCGGGAAGCACCGGCGUGACUCCGGUAAAAUCCUGCAAUUCCUGCCCGCACGCAAGCACACGGGAGCACACACACCCCCUGAAUACCAAAGAAAAGAAAAAUUAAUUUGACCACCUGACAACGGCCUCCUGUGUGUCUGUGCUCCACUCACCGCGGCUAAUUUCCUACACCCUGUAAAACCUAUACAGCCUAUAUAACUGUGGGGGAGACGCAUCAAAUCAUCAUAAUGUUAACUCGAACUGGAGGACACAAUAUAGUGUGAUACAAUAACAAAACAAUUCAUUUGUAUUUUCAUACACCAGUAAUAUAAUUAAUGUUUUACAUAUAUCUCUAUAUCCUUUUUUAUUGAAACCAUUUCUUGAAAGGAAACCAGUUGAGGUGCUGAUGACAUGAAAUAUAAAUAUUAAGUGGAAAGACGUAAUAGUGGUAUUUUUGUUACAUUCAUGUUGUAACGGAUAGCUGCACAGUGACGCAGAGGCAGAGUCCGUUCCAUUCCGUGGUGUUUUAAUUAACGGAAGAAAAAAAAAAGAGAUGAAGAGAAGGGUAUGGUCUUCGGAAGCAAUAAAAAGAACAGGUGACCAGGUGAGAGGAAGGUGGGAAUGGCGGAAUUGAUGGUGUGCGUUUGCCAGGGACCAUGCUAGUGCUCUUACUGUGGAUUAUAACCUUGUGGAUAUUGAUUCAGGAGGCUAGCAAACACUUCGAAAAUAUUCUGCCAAGACUCAGCCGGACUCGACUCGGACUUGAGACUGACUCGGUCCCUUUUGGACUCGGACUCGAUUGGUCAAGGACUUGGUCUAGACUCGAACUCGACAAAGGUGGACUCAGACCCAAUACUUGUUAUUGGUACAUGUAAGAAAUAAAAACAGUCCACUGUUGCACCUUUUUUUUUUUUUUUU
Long non-coding RNA from Ictalurus punctatus (channel catfish), 1294 nucleotides. RefSeq lists it as uncharacterized. Lineage: Eukaryota; Metazoa; Chordata; Actinopteri; Siluriformes; Ictaluridae. The record is from RefSeq and is a predicted model, not a curated record. The transcript is spliced from 3 exons.